This 6707-nucleotide long non-coding RNA is filed under the name Sus scrofa (pig). RNAcentral describes it as "lncRNA (ENSSSCG00005018624.1)". Lineage: Eukaryota; Metazoa; Chordata; Mammalia; Artiodactyla; Suidae. The record is from RNAcentral.
CAGGCUAGGGGUCGAAUUGGAGCUGUAGCUGCUAGCCUAUGCCAGAGCCACAGCAACAUGGGAUCUGAGCCACGUCUGUGACCUGCACCAUAGCUCACUGCAAUGACAGAUUCUUAACCCACUGAGUGAGGGCAGGGAUUGAACCCACGUCCUCAUGGAUGCUAGUUGGGUUUGUUAACCACUGAGCCAUGAUGGGAACUCCCCCCCCACCUUUUUUUUUUUUACAAUAGAAUCUCUUUUCUUUCCCAACUGUAUUGUAACAAGAACAUCAUUCUCUUUUGUCUCAUUGUAGUCUAUUCAUGCCUUUUUUCUCCUCUAACUAAAUAGACUACUAACCAGACUUUUAAAGAGUAUUUCAAAGAUUUUGCUUGGAUUGUUCAAACAGUAGAUUGAACCUCAAACCUUUAGAUAAUGGCUAUAAAUUUACUCCACUUUGAACUUGAUGGCCACUAAGAUGGAGCCAUCUCUAGGGUAAUAGCUGGUUGACAGUGCCCAUCCAGUGUCACAUGGUAUGAAAGAGGGCAAUAAAGAAAGUAUACAUUGUUAUUCUGGAUAGGUAUUUCCAGGGGAAGGGUAAGAUAUCUGGAGGUGGAGAAAACAAUAACAAGAACCAUGGAUUCUGAACUUGUAUGGCUAGGAAAUCUUGCACACCCUUUCAAGAACUGGAGAAUAAAUUUGGGAAGUGGGGUACUAGAUUUAAAUCCAGGUCAGUCCCUAUAAAGGAAGACAGGUGAUAAAAACACUUAAAACAUGUACCAUAGACCUUUGGGUAGUCUCUUUUCUUGGCUUUUGAGGAUCCAUAAGCUUUUUGUACCAACCAACCCCCAGCCAGCCUCAGUUUUUUACUGCUUCACCCAACCUAUAUACACAACCAUGGAAUAGUUUUACUAUUGUUUCAGAGGUAGCAGAGACAUGGCCGGUUAAGUCAAGAUCUUAGUGGUACAAAUGAGGUUGUCUCUGUUGUUCAUUCUGAAUGAUGUGUUCAUUCUUCCCAGGGUUGUUUCUUGGCAUCCCUUGGGUUGUCCAGUGGGUCAGUUUGUACUUUCAUCUGUCUCUUAGUUCCUCACACAGGGUUCUAAUCGUCCUGCUCUCCACUUACCUGGUGCCAGGCAAAGCAUAAGGAUGUGUCAGUGUUUUGUAGCUACCUGAUUUUAGGUUUUGGUGGUUGGUUUUAUUUUUUGAAAUGUAGAAAUACAAGUCUGACGUUAAAAAUGUGAGAAUAAAAUCAAAGUGUGAGAAAAGCUCUCUCACUUAGAUAUUAUCCUCACACUUUGGGGAACAAAAUAGCUAGAUUGGUAGGUUGUGUCUGCACUUGCUGUAAGUGGAAUGUAUCAUGUUAUUCCUCCAAAGUUAUGAUACAAACAGAUAACAACACAAAAGUUUUGUUGAAGCAAACAUUUAACUAGUAAUAUCCUAGAAAUAAAACAAUAUAAAGAAAAAUGGGAACUGUUUACUGUUGGGAAAAAAGAGAAGGGAGGCUACUUGCUGUGGUUUAUAAAGAUUCUUGAUUUUAUCUGUAAGAAUGGUCCUACUUUCAAAUGUAGAAGCAAACUGAGUUCUUCUGUUACUUAAGUGAUGGAAGUUCAUUCAUACCAGAUUCUGUCUGACCUAAGAUCACGGUGUCGGUGACCUAGUUUAUUCCAGAUUUAAAAGGAACGAAGAUAUGGAUUUUUUUAAAAUAGAUUUUUAAACUGAUGGGUAUUAAGUUAGAACAAAAAGACUUCUAACUGAUUUGACAAAUAGAUGCAUUCUACCUAUAUAUGGGAACUAAUAUACGUAAACCACCCAUCUCCUUAUUCAGUUAUGGUUUCUGGUCUGAGUAUCAGUAUCCUUUGGUUUGAUUUCUGUUCCCAUAAAGAGUUCACGUCUUUAAAAGGAAGCUAAUUAUUGACCUAGAUUGUUGACUUGUAUGCACACCAUCCAAAACUGAGAGGAUGGACUAAUUAGAUAUCUAAGAAUAAAAACAUGUUCCCCUUGAUUAAACAGGUAGUUUUCAUGUGCUUUUCCUAAUAGACCAAGUAAUUGUUUAAAUUUUCAACUUGAUCACCCUGGGGAAAAAUAAUCUUAAGUGGCAAGUUCUCUUGAAACCUCUUGGGACAGUAGGAUGUUGGGAAGGAGCUGGGUUUCUUGAGGCGAUAAUCAGUAAAGGAUGUGGCAUGUCAAUGUUCUGAUGGAGGAAAAUGCCUGCUCUCCUGAAAGUGCAUGAAAACAUAAGGACUGAAAAUCUCAAGGUGUGACCACACCUGUCAAACACUUGGUUAUGUUUCUUGGGUCAAGGACAUCCAGAGCUGGUCUGAGUUAGGUUUGAAAAUUGUGUGUUAGGUAAUCUAAAAUGAGAUGCACUAUUCAUGUUUUUUUGUUUGUUGGUUGGUUUAUUUGUUUUAAUAGUCAGACUCAAAUCAUUGCAUGGUUUGGUAUUAUUCCUACCCAAAAGAUUGAGAACAGGAAUUUCUGCUCAAUUCCUUAUGGAUUAAUUAUCAAGGCUAAUAUUUAUUGAGUGCCUGCUCUGUUCCUGGUAUUCUUCUGAGUGAUUACAUGUGUUCUUUCAUCCUGCCUUACAGAGCUGGUGAGGUACUCUUACUACCCUCUGGCCUAGCAAAUGAAGAGCUGAAGUACAGGUUACCAGGGAUCUAAUAUUCAAAACACCAGCAGUAGACACAGGGUCCAUAGUCUUUGCUAAUGCUAAGCAAUGCUUGUAGGUGAGAGAGGAAAUCUUUUUUACGCAAACUGAUAAACUUAACAUAUUAACACUGUUACUCAUCAGUAAGCCCUGAAAGUCCAGCAAACCAUUCAGCCCUCUGAGAUUGGCCGGGCCAAGUCUCUUCUCAGACUUGGGAGAUUUCUGAAGGAGGGAUCUAAAGUUGUAAUGAGUUAAAGUUUUAAAUGACUAAAUGGGGGUGCUUCACGUGGGUGCCCACUUGGAGUUCUGAUGCUGAUGGAGAGAAGCCUAGGGCCACUCACUUGAUUAAAUCUGAUUCCAAAGACCCGUGAUCUCCCUGCCUGAGCCUGCAAGAAAUCAAGCGUAUCAUAAAACCAGUGCUUUCAGCAAGCUUCCCGUCUCAGUUAGGUUUUGGUAAGAUGUUCACAAGAAUUUGCUUCCUUGGGAGGAAAAUCAGUGUACUAGGCUGCCGUUAGUUUCAUUUUCAUCGAGCUCGAUGAUGCGGUAGGAAGAAGGGUAGGUGUUAGGAAAGGUGGGGGCCAGGGGUUGGUGACAUCAAGGCAAAUGUCCCCUGGUUCUUGAAACUCCAGAGGAGCCUUAAAUGUGAUGCCAGAGCAACUGAUCCAUUUCAACAAGUGGCUGGUGGAUUUCAAGCUGGAGGAGAGCAGAGUAGAUGGUUGUUCUGGCUGUCUGUCUGGGCUCCCUCUGGCCACUCUGGCUGCUGACUAAGCCUGUCCCCUGGCUUGCAUAACAUCACAGCCACAGCACCACUGAACUUGUCCAUGCCCAUCCAAUAGUGACCUUCCACUUCCUGAGUUUCUUGUUCCUUAUGUAUGUUUCUCCAGGGUCUUCUUGCUUGGGGUCACUUUUGUUUUAGUGUGUUUUGUCUUACAAUAAGAUGGUUAUGUAAACCUGCUAAAAGGGUAAGUUUAACUUGUUUCACUGUUGGUACAAUCAUCACUAAAGUCUUGUGAGAGUCCUGCAAUGCCCAUUUGUGUUGCCAUCCAUAAUUAAAAGGUUCAGGUAGAUGUUCAGAUCUCUUGACACUCCCAGAUGGUGUUAGCAGUUACUGUGCAGAACCCUACGUAUUACCUGAUGGACAUUUUUAAAAAAUAUAUCCACUAAUUUUUGGAAAGGGCUUCAGAAAAAGACAACUUUGGUUUGGGAUAAGAAACAAAGCUGUUUGUUUUAUACAUUUUUCUAAUACAGUUUUAAAGAGUUUGCUUUUGGAAGCAUGCUUAGUUACUAUUAAACCAUUGUGUUCCCAUAGUUGGAAAAAAAUCGAAUAAAAAGUAGGCUAUUUUUAUUAUCUGCCAGAUUUCACAACAGUGGAGUGUUCCAUUUUGAUACAAAGAGAUAUAUAGCAGGAUUUAUUCAGCGAGUUCUUUAUAUUUAUAAAAGUGUCAACAGCAAAAACAGAACACAUUUAUACAGGUCAGUCAUAUAACUGUACCCAGCAAAUGGUGGUACCUAACGUAUGGGCUGUGUUUCCCCCACCAACAGUGCAGUUUGACCUUAUUUAUAGAACAGUAGGUAAAGUCGAUGUUUGUUCUUUCAGCUGUUUGCAUUUCUGACAGCAGUACUGUUCCAGCAGAAUAUAUCCCAAAGCCAGAGGAAAUUCUAUUUAUGUUUAUAAUCGCUGUAAAGAACAAGCCCUUAAUUAUCGCACUUCAUUUUUUUUUAAGAAUUCUAAUUAUAGCAAUUGAAAUUUACUUUUUUAUUAGUCAUCUUUCAACAUUACUUAUUGCAGUAUCAUGAGAUUAUUAAAGAUAAUAUUGGAGAGAAGGAACGAAGUCUGAACUGGGAUAUUCAGUGCUUAUAAAAUGGGAACAAGGACAAUUAUACUUUAUUAUAAGAAAAUUAAAAGGAAAAAACCAGCCAUAACAACCUAACAUAUGAGACACUUGUCUGAAUCAUCUUUGUUUUGCCAUGAUGAAGGUCAUGGUUUAUUGAUCAUUCAAACAUCGGUUAGGACAUAAAAAAUUAAUAAUUUUCUUGUUGACAUGUAUAUGUGCUAGCAUUUAAUCUGGUUAUACUUUGGGGAAAUUAAGAUGAAUUGAAUGUAUUUUUCCAGAAUGGCAUGGUUUUUGUCAACCACUCUGAAUUAUGCAUUUCAGUGUAUCUCUACUUGUAUUUUAUACAGAGAAUAGACAGAUUAGUGAACAAAGUCCCUCUUUUUUAAAGACUUGAAUGCACAUCUGAUUUCUCUUCUAUAAGGAGACAAGGGAGGGCAGGAAGGAGAGAAAGAGGGAGGCGAAGGGGAAUGCCCAGAGGAAUAGGAAGCCUACACAUAUGUUCCAGAUCCACUAGCAAUCACAGUCUCAGUGUCCACCCCCUAGUUCCAGUUCAGUGCUGUUUUUCCAAAUGAAAAUUUCUGCAUUUGCCCAUGAUGAAAUUUUGCAGAAGAGGAGUGAUGCCUAGAACCACUUAAUGGCAGAAUUUAGAAGUCACAUCUGCUUUCGCGCCAUCCUGUGCUCCUUCCCUUUAACUACCCUGUCUGCGCUUGAACUUGUGCUCAGUGUGUCUUCCACUGAACCAAAUCAGGGCUUGGAUUUUGGGAUGCUGACUUUGAUUUCAUUUUUAAUGUGUUGAUAUAUAAAAAGUGCCUAGGACACCAUCUAACUGAUGGUUAACAGGCUAGCAAUGUUGCCCAUUAGUAAUACUAUUUCUAUAGCAUUGGCAAUUUGAUCGCAGUUUCUCGAACUUUCCAAUGAAUCAUCAAAAGCCACUCCCUAGAGCUUCCCUGAGUCCUUGCCAAGCAAGCCCCCUGGGGCCCCUCCCACAAUACCCAACACACACACACACACACACACACACACACACACACACACACACCUACCUUCCAAAGAGACUACAGCUGUGUUCCCUGCACAGAGGCUGGAGCCACCCUGGUCCACCAAGGGCUGCUUCAAGCUGCUAGAAGUCUCUUUGACAAAGAAUCUAGAUGGAUUUUUCCACACAGGAAUGAAAAACUUUCAAGACAACUGUUUUUAAUGGAUACAUAGGAAAAUACAGAAAACAUUUGGCCAAGACACAAGCUGGAUCCGGUCCUCUGGAGAGUUCCUGAAAUAGGCCCUGGUAAAAGCAAAGGCAAGAAUGUUCAAGACUAUCAAGUUCACCCCUAUUGUUCAGAAGUGGUAUGACCUUUCCAGCCAAGCAGAGCACACUUAUCCUUCCUGUAGAACAUGCUGGUGGGAGAUGCUGGGUGGCCUGGCAAUUAAAGAUUCUGUGUUGUCAUUGCUAUGGUGAGGGUUCAAUCCCUGGCUCAGGAACUUCUGCAUGCUGUGGGCAUGGCCAAAACAAACAAAAAACACUUCGUGGUGAGCAAGCUCUUGGGCGAUUUGUGUUUAGACUCACUGGAUGUUAUGGAGGGUGAGUGCAUCCUGGAGGGUGAGUGCUACAUAUGUGUGCGAAGACACUGAUGGAGGUUUUCAUUCUAGGGGUUGAAUUGGAGCUGUAGCCACAGGUCAGUGCCACAGCCACAGCAACUUGGAAUCAAAGCCAUAUCUGCAACCUACACCACAGCUCACAGCAACGCUGGAUCCUGCACCCACUGAGCGAGGCCAGGGAUCAAACCCGAGUCCUCAUGGAUGCUAGGUCAGGUUCAUUAACCAUUGAGCUAUGACGGGAACUCCCUUUGAUGUUUCUCGAAGGCCUCAUUUAGUUGGUUUUUUAUUCAUUUCCUGAUGUUUUAUUCCGAGUAUGUUGAAACAUACAUAAAAGUUGCAAGAGAUGUCUAGGGGAAAGCCAUGUAGGGUGGAUUUCACUGGUCGUAAUGCCGCCGAUAACUACCAUGUUCUCCAUAUUUAGAUUUCAAGUCCUGUGCUAAACCCUUAACCUAAAUACUCCGUAUUUAAUCCUCUUCAUGAGAUAAACUUAUCUGUCUUAGAGAUGAAGAAAUCACCUACCCCGACUACUUUAGCUAUUAAGUGGCAAGAGACGGCCAAGUCUUUUUAAAACUAUAAAUUCUAUGUUUAACUGCCACCCUCCUGCCAAAACAUCUCAGGCUGCUCGCGACACACCUUUCAUGUAAUUCCUUGAUUCUUAG